GCGCCAGACUCCUACGGGAGGCAGCAGUGGGGAAUAUUGCACAAUGGGCGCAAGCCUGAUGCAGCCAUGCCGCGUGUGUGAAGAGGGCCUUCGGGUUGUAAAUCACUUUCAGCGGGGAGGAAGGCAAUAAGGUUAAUAACCUUGUUGAUUGACGUUACCCGCAGAAGAAGCACCGGCUAACUCCGUGCCAGCAGCCGCGGUAAUACGGAGGGUGCAAGCGUUAAUCGGAAUUACUGGGCGUAAAGCGCACGCAGGCGGUCUGUCAAGUCGGAUGUGAAAUCCCCGGGCUCAACCUGGGAACUGCAUUCGAAACUGGCAGGCUGGAGUCUUUUAGAGGGGGGUAGAAUUCCAGGUGUAGCGGUGAAAUGCGUAGAGAUCUGGAGGAAUACUGGUGGCGAAGGCGGCCCCCUGGACAAAGACUGACGCUCAGGUGCGAAAGCGUGGGGAGCAAACAGGAUUAGAUACCCCGGUAGU
RNAcentral lists this ribosomal RNA (474 nucleotides) under uncultured bacterium. RNAcentral describes it as "bacterial SSU rRNA". It matches the Rfam family "Bacterial small subunit ribosomal RNA", at positions 328 to 794 of the family's 1533-position model. The record is from RNAcentral.